GUCCACACUGUAAACGAUGAACACUAGGUAUAGGGAGUAUCGACCCUCUCUGUGCCAAAGCCAACGCGUUAAGUGUUCCGUCUGGGGAGUACGGCCGCAAGGCUAAAACUCAAAGGAAUUGACGGGGGGCCCCGCACAAGCAGCGGAGCGUGUGGUUUAAUUCGAUGCAAAGCGAAGAACCUUACCAAGGCUUGACAUGACGGAAGUAGGGACCCGAAAGGGCGACGAACUGUCAAAUCACUAACCGCCACAGGUGCUGCAUGGCUGUCGU
This 271-nucleotide ribosomal RNA is filed under the name uncultured bacterium. RNAcentral describes it as "partial 16S ribosomal RNA". It matches the Rfam family "Bacterial small subunit ribosomal RNA", at positions 793 to 1055 of the family's 1533-position model. The record is from RNAcentral.